CAGCCGCCACGGUAAUACGAAGGGGGCUAGCGUUGUUCGGAUUAACUGGGCGUAAAGGGCGCGUAGGCGGGUUUUUAAGUCAGAGGUGAAAUCCCAAGGCUCAACCUUGGAACUGCCUUUGAUACUGGAAGUCUUGAGUCCGGGAGAGGUGAGUGGAACUGCGAGUGUAGAGGUGAAAUUCGUAGAUAUUCGCAAGAACACCAGUGGCGAAGGCGGCUCACUGGCCCGGUACUGACGCUGAGGCGCGAAAGCGUGGGGAGCAAACAGGAUUAGAGACCCCUGUAGUCCCUGUCUCUUAUAC
RNAcentral lists this ribosomal RNA (301 nucleotides) under uncultured bacterium. RNAcentral's name for it is "partial 16S ribosomal RNA". It matches the Rfam family "Bacterial small subunit ribosomal RNA", at positions 509 to 807 of the family's 1533-position model. The record is from RNAcentral.